Non-coding RNA from Amphimedon queenslandica, 46 nucleotides. The record is from Rfam. Lineage: Eukaryota; Metazoa; Porifera; Demospongiae; Haplosclerida; Niphatidae.
CAACCGGCUUUUUUCAAAGCCAUCCCAAUGAUACUGGAAGGAAGAG